Paramisgurnus dabryanus is the source of this 688-nucleotide long non-coding RNA. RefSeq lists it as uncharacterized. Lineage: Eukaryota; Metazoa; Chordata; Actinopteri; Cypriniformes; Cobitidae. The record is from RefSeq and is a predicted model, not a curated record.
AAUCUUAGUCUGUGCCUUAAGUGCUUAAAGCCUAUGAUGAAGAAAAACGUAUAAGAGUAGUGGACAGAAGUGAUUUCUGAGAAUCUGUAUUCUGAGGCAUUGCAAAAUAUUUUAUGCAUUAUUUAAAAUGAGUGCAAGGUUGUAAUGAGCUUCUCUUUGCAGGUAUUUGAAAUACUGCCAGACUAUUGCAAGUCCCAAAAGGUACAUGUGCCAUGCGGAUGAAUUGAAAGGUUCCUCCUGAAGCAGAAAACCUGAGCAUGAAGAUGACAUCAGCUCCACACGGAGUUUACCAGAGAGUGGUGUAACCUGAUCUUCAAUAUGAAGUCUUGACUGUGAAGGCAACGGUGGUACUUCUGUGAAAGUUUUGGUUUAACUUGAAGCAAGGCGGAUGGUCCUUCCUCUUGUCCAAUGUGCAGAAGACCCUAAAAUUUCUCUCCGGGUGUCUGCUCAUUGACAGGUGGUGAAGGCCUUGGUGCUGCAUGCCGUCAUUUGCCAGUUACAGGUGGCUCUGCAUCACGAGAAUGUCUUUGGAAAGCAUUAAGAAUGACGAUUGGUGGACAUCUUUCCAAAGCUGUUAUCUACCCAAGCUGAACCUGAAGAAAUUGUGGAAAUUAAGCUUUAUGUACUUUGGAAGUACCAUGUCUUAUUUAAACUGUUCUGAUUGAAUAAAGUCAUACUUUGAUACGAA